AAUGAACGCUGGCGGCAUGCCUAACACAUGCAAGUCGAACGAAGGCUUCGGCCUUAGUGGCGCACGGGUGCGUAACGCGUGGGAAUCUGCCCUCAGGUUCGGAAUAACAGCGAGAAAUUGCUGCUAAUACCGGAUGAUAUCGCGAGAUCAAAGAUUUAUCGCCUGAGGAUGAGCCCGCGUAGGAUUAGCUAGUUGGUGUGGUAAAGGCGCACCAAGGCGGCGAUCCUUAGCUGGUCUGAGAGGAUGAUCAGCCACACUGGGACUGAGACACGGCCCAGACUCCUACGGGAGGCAGCAGUGGGGAAUAUUGGACAAUGGGCGAAAGCCUGAUCCAGCAAUGCCGCGUGAGUGAUGAGGGCCUUAGGGUUGUAAAGCUCUUUUACCCGGGAUGAUAAUGACAGUACCGGGAGAAUAAGCUCCGGCUAACUCCGUGCCAGCCGCCGCGGUAA
This 449-nucleotide ribosomal RNA is filed under the name uncultured bacterium. RNAcentral's name for it is "partial 16S ribosomal RNA". It matches the Rfam family "Bacterial small subunit ribosomal RNA", at positions 29 to 523 of the family's 1533-position model. The record is from RNAcentral.